Molecule: ribosomal RNA, 231 nt
Filed under: Triticum aestivum (bread wheat)
Lineage: Eukaryota; Viridiplantae; Streptophyta; Magnoliopsida; Poales; Poaceae
Description: partial small subunit ribosomal RNA
Source: RNAcentral
CUGCUUCUACUUUCUGUAUGGAGCUGGGAGCGUCUGCCUGUUAGACGCCCGAAGAGCAUCAGGUUUGAUCCUUGGUAUGCAGAUGAACAUGAUGAAUUACGGCGCCCCAUGUGGGCUUACAAGUGGGAUAUCGUUUCCGAGAUGAUGAACGAUGUCAAUCUCAUGUACCAAACGUACAUUGCCGAGUUGGACACGAUUACGCCUGAGCAGGUAAGGAGGUCAUUACUUUAG